RNAcentral lists this ribosomal RNA (265 nucleotides) under uncultured prokaryote. Its description in RNAcentral is "partial 16S ribosomal RNA". It matches the Rfam family "Bacterial small subunit ribosomal RNA", at positions 524 to 788 of the family's 1533-position model. The record is from RNAcentral.
UACGGAGGAUCCGAGCGUUAUCCGGAUUUAUUGGGUUUAAAGGGUGCGCAGGCGGAAGAUUAAGUCGGUGGUGAAAUUUUGCAGCUCAACUGUAAAAGUGCCAUUGAUACUGGUUUUCUUGAGUGUGGAUGAAGUAGGCGGAAUUUGUGGUGUAGCGGUGAAAUGCAUAGAUAUCACGAGGAACUCCGAUUGCGCGGGCAGCUUACUAAACCAUAACUGACGCUCAGGCACAAAGGCGUGGGGAUCAAACAGGAUUAGAUACCCU